UUCUUAUCCAGAGAGGUGGAGGGACUGGCCCUUUGAUACCUCGGCAACAGACCGCAUGCGGUACUGUGCCAAUUCCAGAAGCAUAGCGCUUGAAGAUAAGAA
Molecule: non-coding RNA, 102 nt
Filed under: Virgibacillus chiguensis
Lineage: Bacteria; Bacillati; Bacillota; Bacilli; Caryophanales; Bacillaceae
Description: SAM-I sequence
Rfam family: SAM riboswitch aptamer (S box leader)
About the family: The SAM riboswitch is found upstream of a number of genes which code for proteins involved in methionine or cysteine biosynthesis in Gram-positive bacteria. The SAM riboswitch acts at the level of transcription termination control.
Source: RNAcentral